Molecule: ribosomal RNA, 274 nt
Filed under: uncultured bacterium
Lineage: Bacteria
Description: partial 16S ribosomal RNA
Rfam family: Bacterial small subunit ribosomal RNA
Source: RNAcentral
AUACGGAGGGUCCGAGCGUUAAUCGGAAUUACUGGGCGUAAAGCGUACGUAGGUGGCUUGAUAAGUCGGAUGUGAAAGCCCUGGGCUCAACCUGGGAAUUGCAUUCGAUACUGUCUGGCUAGAGUAUAGUAGAGGGAAGUGGAAUUCCGGGUGUAGCGGUGAAAUGCGUAGAUAUCCGGAGGAACACCAGUGGCGAAGGCGGCUUCCUGGACUAAUACUGACACUGAGGUACGAAAGCGUGGGGAGCAAACAGGAGUAGAAACCCCGGUAGUCC